Molecule: ribosomal RNA, 487 nt
Filed under: uncultured flagellate
Lineage: Eukaryota
Description: bacterial SSU rRNA
Rfam family: Eukaryotic small subunit ribosomal RNA
Source: RNAcentral
AAUGAUUGAUAGGGACGGUUGUGGGUGCUAGUAUUCAGCGGCCAGAGGUGAAAUUCUCGGAUUCGCUGAAGACUAACUUAUGCGAAAGCAUUCACCAAGGAUAUCUUCUUUAAUCAAGAACGAAAGUUGGGGGAUCGAAGACGCUCAGACACCGUCGUAGUCUCAACCAUAAACUAUGCCGACUAGGGAUGAGAAAAAGUUGCAUUUUCGACUUCAUUCGCUCCUUAUGAGAAAUCAAAGUCUUUGGGUUCCGGGGGGAGUAUGGUCGCAAGGCUGAAACUUAAAGGAAUUGUCGGAAGGGCACCACCAGGAGUGGUGCCUGCGGCUUAAUUUGACUCAACACGGGAAAACUUACCAGGUCCAGACACAGUAAGGAUUGACAGAUUGAAGAUCUUUCUUGAUUCUGUGGGUGGUAGGGCAUGGCCGUUACUUAGUUGGUGGAGUGAUUUGACUCGUUAACCCCCAUAACCCACGUGACCCCGACCUG